AUUUGUAUCUUCAAGCUUUGCUUGGUGUUGGGUGUUUGUCCUGCUCUAUGCGUGGACUCGCCUUAAAUCAAUUGGCAGCCGGCAAUCUGGUGUUAAGAGCGCAGCACAUUGUGCGCUCCUCGCUGUGUAUUGCGGCGUCCAUUAAGCCUAUAUUUUUUGCUCUUGACCUCGGAUCAGGUAGGGAUACCCGCUGAACUUAA
This 200-nucleotide unclassified non-coding RNA is filed under the name soil metagenome. RNAcentral's name for it is "partial contains internal transcribed spacer 2 and large subunit ribosomal RNA". The record is from RNAcentral.